AUUGAACGCUGGCGGUAUGCUUAACACAUGCAAGUCGAACGGUAACAGGCCUUCGGGCGCUGUCGAGUGGCGGACGGGUGAGUAACGCGUAGGAAUCUGCCUCAUAGUGGGGGGACAACGUGGGGAAACUCACGCUAAUACCGCAUACGCCCUACGGGGGAAAGCGGGGGAUCUUCGGACCUCGCGCUAUGAGAUGAGCCUGCGUUAGAUUAGCUAGUUGGUAGGGUAAAGGCCUACCAAGGCGACGAUCUAUAGCUGGUCUGAGAGGACGAUCAGCCACACUGGGACUGAGACACGGCCCAGACUCCUACGGGAGGCAGCAGUGGGGAAUAUUGGACAAUGGGCGCAAGCCUGAUCCAGCAAUACCGCGUGUGUGAAGAAGGCCCUAGGGUUGUAAAGUUCUUUACCCGUGACGAUGAUGACGGUAACGGGGAAGUAAGCUCCGGCUAACUUCGUGCCAGCAGCCGCGGUAA
RNAcentral lists this ribosomal RNA (473 nucleotides) under uncultured bacterium. RNAcentral's name for it is "bacterial SSU rRNA". It matches the Rfam family "Bacterial small subunit ribosomal RNA", at positions 30 to 523 of the family's 1533-position model. The record is from RNAcentral.